ACACUCGUAGCUCACCUUCUCACUUCCCGAACUCCAGGCUGAAACCCUAAAGAACUCACUGAAACCCUACGCACACUUUUUCUUUCUUUUCUUUCUUUUUCUCUCGGAAGGAUAUAGACCUUCACCUUGCACACAAGGAUUACUCACGUCCAGAUUUUCUCUCCAAAUUUUUUCUUUCACACGUCCCACUCUUCUCCUCCUUUUAAAACAACAACCAAGGUCUUAUCCACGUGAGAGGAUAAAGAUGAGUAAUUGCACAUUUGAAUUCAAAUCAAAUUUUGAAUUCAAAUGGAAACUAAUUUAUCCCUAUCCACUAAGGGUGUGAGAAG
Molecule: long non-coding RNA, 329 nt
Filed under: Elaeis guineensis (African oil palm)
Lineage: Eukaryota; Viridiplantae; Streptophyta; Magnoliopsida; Arecales; Arecaceae
Description: long non-coding RNA (EGUI_LNC055360)
Source: RNAcentral